RNAcentral lists this ribosomal RNA (1350 nucleotides) under Brinjal little leaf phytoplasma. RNAcentral describes it as "bacterial SSU rRNA". It matches the Rfam family "Bacterial small subunit ribosomal RNA", at positions 86 to 1434 of the family's 1533-position model. Lineage: Bacteria; Bacillati; Mycoplasmatota; Mollicutes; Acholeplasmatales; Acholeplasmataceae. The record is from RNAcentral.
GGUUUGUUAGUGGCGAACGGGUGAGUAACACGUAAGUAACCUGCCUUUAAGACGAGGAUAACAACCGGAAGGUUACUAAGACUGGAUAGGAAACAAAAAGGCAUCUUUUUGUUUUUAAAAGACCUUCUUACGAAGGUAUGCUUAAAGAGGGGCUUGCGCCACAUUAGUUAGUUGGUAGAGUAAAAGCCUACCAAGACGAUGAUGUGUAGCUGGACUGAGAGGUUGAACAGCCACAUUGGGACUGAGACACGGCCCAAACUCCUACGGGAGGCAGCAGUAGGGAAUUUUCGGCAAUGGAGGAAACUCUGACCGAGCAACGCCGCGUGAACGAUGAAGUAUUUCGGUAUGUAAAGUUCUUUUAUUGAAGAAGAAAAAGUAGUGGAAAAACUAUAUUGACGUUAUUCAAUGAAUAAGCCCCGGCUAACUAUGUGCCAGCAGCCGCGGUAAGACAUAGGGGGCGAGCGUUAUCCGGAAUUAUUGGGCGUAAAGGGUGCGUAGGCUGUUAGAUAAGUCUAUAAUUUAAUUUCAGUGCUUAACGCUGUCUUGUUAUAGAAACUGUCUUGACUAGAGUGAGAUAGAGGCAAGCGGAAUUCCAUGUGUAGCGGUAAAAUGUGUAAAUAUAUGGAGGAACACCAGAAGCGUAGGCGGCUUGCUGGGUCUUUACUGACGCUGAGGCACGAAAGCGUGGGUAGCAAACAGGAUUAGAUACCCUGGUAGUCCACGCCGUAAACGAUGAGUACUAAGUGUCGGGGUAAAACUCGGUACUGAAGUUAACACAUUAAGUACUCCGCCUGAGUAGUACGUACGCAAGUAUGAAACUUAAAGGAAUUGACGGGACUCCGCACAAGCGGUGGAUCAUGUUGUUUAAUUCGAAGAUACACGAAAAAUCUUACCAGGUCUUGACAUACUCUGCAAAGCUAUAGAAAUAUAGUGGAGGUUAUCAGGGAUACAGGUGGUGCAUGGUUGUCGUCAGUUCGUGUCGUGAGAUGUUAGGUUAAGUCCUAAAACGAACGCAACCCUUGUCGUUAAUUGCCAGCACAUAAUGGUGGGGACUUUAACGAGACUGCCAAUUAAACAUUGGAGGAAGGUGAGGAUUACGUCAAAUCAUCAUGCCCCUUAUGAUCUGGGCUACAAACGUGAUACAAUGGCUGUGACAAAGAGUAGCUGAAACGCGAGUUUUUAGCCAAUCUCAAAAAAGCAGUCUCAGUUCGGAUUGAAGUCUGUAACUCGACUUCAUGAAGUUGGAAUCGCUAGUAAUCGCGAAUCAGCAUGUCGCGGUGAAUACGUUCUCGGGGUUUGUACACACCGCCCGUCAAACCACGAAAGUUAGCAAUGCCCGAAAGCAGUAGC